GAUGAACGCUAGCGGGAGGCCUAACACAUGCAAGUCGAGGGGCAGCACAGGUAGCAAUACUGGGUGGCGACCGGCGGAUGGGUGCGUAACGCGUAUGCAACCUACCAUUGAUUGGGGGCAUAGCCCGAAGAAAUUCGGAUUAAUACUCCAUAAUAUUCAUCAAAGGCAUCUUUUAUGAAUUAAAGCUUUUGCGAUCAAUGAUGGGCAUGCGUGACAUUAGUUAGUUGGUGAGGUAACGGCUCACCAAAACGAUGAUGUCUAGGGGUUCUGAGAGGAUUAUCCCCCACACUGGUACUGAGACACGGACCAGACUCCUACGGGAGGCAGCAGUGAGGAAUAUUGGUCAAUGGGACGCAAGUCUGAACCAGCCAUGCCGCGUGCAGGAUGACGGCCCUAUGGGUUGUAAACUGCUUUUCCACGGGAAGAACCCUCCGACGUGUCGGAGACUGACGGUACCGUGGGAAUAAGCAUCGGCUAACUCCGUGCC
RNAcentral lists this ribosomal RNA (487 nucleotides) under uncultured bacterium. RNAcentral's name for it is "bacterial SSU rRNA". It matches the Rfam family "Bacterial small subunit ribosomal RNA", at positions 28 to 509 of the family's 1533-position model. The record is from RNAcentral.